Molecule: ribosomal RNA, 515 nt
Filed under: uncultured bacterium
Lineage: Bacteria
Description: partial 16S ribosomal RNA
Rfam family: Bacterial small subunit ribosomal RNA
Source: RNAcentral
GAUGAACGCUGGCGGCGUGCCUAAUACAUGCAAGUCGAGCGAAUGGAUUAAGAGCUUGCUCUUAUGAAGUUAGCGGCGGACGGGUGAGUAACACGUGGGUAACCUGCCCAUAAGACUGGGAUAACUCCGGGAAACCGGGGCUAAUACCGGAUAACAUUUUGAACCGCAUGGUUCGAAAUUGAAAGGCGGCUUCGGCUGUCACUUAUGGAUGGACCCGCGUCGCAUUAGCUAGUUGGUGAGGUAACGGCUCACCAAGGCAACGAUGCGUAGCCGACCUGAGAGGGUGAUCGGCCACACUGGGACUGAGACCCGGCCCAGACUCCUACGGGAGGCAGCAGUAGGGAAACUUCCGCAAUGGACGAAAGUCUGACGGAGCAACGCCGCGUGAGUGAUGAAGGCUUUCGGGUCGUAAAACUCUGUUGUUAGGGAAGAACAAGUGCUAGUUGAAUAAGCUGGCACCUUGACGGUACCUAACCAGAAAGCCACGGCUAACUACGUGCCAGCCGCCGCUGUAA